UACGUAGGGUGCGAGCGUUGUCCGGAAUUAUUGGGCGUAAAGAGCUCGUAGGCGGUUCGUCACGUCGGCUGUGAAAUCCCGAGGCUCAACCUCGGGUCUGCAGUCGAUACGGGCGGACUUGAGUACUGCAGGGGAGACUGGAAUUCCUGGUGUAGCGGUGAAAUGCGCAGAUAUCAGGAGGAACACCGGUGGCGAAGGCGGGUCUCUGGGCCGAUACUGACGCUGAGGAGCGAAAGCGUGGGGAGCGAACAGG
Molecule: ribosomal RNA, 253 nt
Filed under: uncultured bacterium
Lineage: Bacteria
Description: partial 16S ribosomal RNA
Rfam family: Bacterial small subunit ribosomal RNA
Source: RNAcentral